AUACGGAGGGAGCGAGCGUUAAUCGGAAUUACUGGGCGUAAAGCGCGCGUAGGCGGCUUUGUAAGUCGGAUGUGAAAGCCCUGGGCUCAACCUGGGAAUUGCAUUCGAUACUGCAGAACUAGAGUAUGGUAGAGGGAAGUGGAAUUUCCGGUGUAGCGGUGAAAUGCGUAGAUAUCGGAAGGAACACCAGUGGCGAAGGCGACUUCCUGGGCCAAUACUGACGCUGAGGUGCGAAAGCGUGGGGAGCAAACAGGAUUAGAAACCCCAGUAGUCC
Molecule: ribosomal RNA, 274 nt
Filed under: uncultured bacterium
Lineage: Bacteria
Description: partial 16S ribosomal RNA
Rfam family: Bacterial small subunit ribosomal RNA
Source: RNAcentral